RNAcentral lists this ribosomal RNA (477 nucleotides) under uncultured bacterium. RNAcentral describes it as "bacterial SSU rRNA". It matches the Rfam family "Bacterial small subunit ribosomal RNA", at positions 50 to 518 of the family's 1533-position model. The record is from RNAcentral.
AACACAUGCAAGUCGAGGGGCGAGCAUUGGAGUAGCAAUACUUCAGAUGGCGACCGGCGCACGGGUGAGUAACACGUAUCCAACCUGCCGCUUACUCGGGGACAGCCUUUCGAAAGAAAGAUUAAUACCCGAUGGUAUAAAGAGUUCGCAUGUUCUCUUUAUUAAAGAAUUUCGGUAAGCGAUGGGGAUGCGUUCCAUUAGAUAGUUGGCGGGGUAACGGCCCACCAAGUCUACGAUGGAUAGGGGUUCUGAGAGGAAGGUCCCCCACAUUGGAACUGAGACACGGUCCAAACUCCUACGGGAGGCAGCAGUGAGGAAUAUUGGUCAAUGGACGAGAGUCUGAACCAGCCAAGUAGCGUGAAGGAUGACUGCCCUAUGGGUUGUAAACUUCUUUUAUAAGGGAAUAAAGUGAGGGACGUGUCCCUUUUUGUAUGUACCUUAUGAAUAAGGAUCGGCUAACUCCGUGCCAGCAGCUGC